UCCUGAGUAGCUCAGUUGGUAAAGAAUCUGCCUGCAAUGCAGGAGACCCUGGUUUGAUUCCUGGGUCGGGAA
This 72-nucleotide transfer RNA is filed under the name Capra hircus (goat). It matches the Rfam family "tRNA". Rfam says of the family: Transfer RNA (tRNA) molecules are approximately 80 nucleotides in length. Their secondary structure includes four short double-helical elements and three loops (D, anti-codon, and T loops). RNAcentral also lists the same sequence under 1 other name. Lineage: Eukaryota; Metazoa; Chordata; Mammalia; Artiodactyla; Bovidae. The record is from Rfam by way of RNAcentral.